Molecule: ribosomal RNA, 2037 nt
Filed under: Enterobacter asburiae
Lineage: Bacteria; Pseudomonadati; Pseudomonadota; Gammaproteobacteria; Enterobacterales; Enterobacteriaceae
Description: partial 23S ribosomal RNA
Rfam family: Bacterial large subunit ribosomal RNA
Source: RNAcentral
UGUUUCGGCUAGGGGGCCAUCCCGGCUUACCAACCCGAUGCAAACUACGAAUACCGAAGAAUGUUAUCACGGGAGACACACGGCGGGUGCUAACGUCCGUCGUGAAGAGGGAAACAACCCAGACCGCCAGCUAAGGUCCCAAAGUCAUGGUUAAGUGGGAAACGAUGUGGGAAGGCACAGACAGCCAGGAUGUUGGCUUAGAAGCAGCCAUCAUUUAAAGAAAGCGUAAUAGCUCACUGGUCGAGUCGGCCUGCGCGGAAGAUGUAACGGGGCUAAACCAUGCACCGAAGCUGCGGCAGCGACGCGUAUGCGUUGUUGGGUAGGGGAGCGUUCUGUAAGCCGUUGAAGGUGUGCUGUGAGGCAUGCUGGAGGUAUCAGAAGUGCGAAUGCUGACAUAAGUAACGAUAAAGCGGGUGAAAAGCCCGCUCGCCGGAAGACCAAGGGUUCCUGUCCAACGUUAAUCGGGGCAGGGUGAGUCGACCCCUAAGGCGAGGCCGAAAGGCGUAGUCGAUGGGAAACAGGUUAAUAUUCCUGUACUUGGUGUUACUGCGAAGGGGGGACGGAGAAGGCUAUGUUAGCCGGGCGACGGUUGUCCCGGUUUAAGCAUGUAGGCGGAGGUUCCAGGUAAAUCCGGUACCUUUUAACGCUGAGGUGUGAUGACGAGGCACUACGGUGCUGAAGUAACAAAUGCCCUGCUUCCAGGAAAAGCCUCUAAGCAUCAGGUAACACGAAAUCGUACCCCAAACCGACACAGGUGGUCAGGUAGAGAAUACCAAGGCGCUUGAGAGAACUCGGGUGAAGGAACUAGGCAAAAUGGUGCCGUAACUUCGGGAGAAGGCACGCUGAUAUGUAGGUGAAGCCCCUGCGGGUGGAGCUGAAAUCAGUCGAAGAUACCAGCUGGCUGCAACUGUUUAUUAAAAACACAGCACUGUGCAAACACGAAAGUGGACGUAUACGGUGUGACGCCUGCCCGGUGCCGGAAGGUUAAUUGAUGGGGUUAGCGGCAACGCGAAGCUCUUGAUCGAAGCCCCGGUAAACGGCGGCCGUAACUAUAACGGUCCUAAGGUAGCGAAAUUCCUUGUCGGGUAAGUUCCGACCUGCACGAAUGGCGUAAUGAUGGCCAGGCUGUCUCCACCCGAGACUCAGUGAAAUUGAACUCGCUGUGAAGAUGCAGUGUACCCGCGGCAAGACGGAAAGACCCCGUGAACCUUUACUAUAGCUUGACACUGAACACUGGUCCUUGAUGUGUAGGAUAGGUGGGAGGCUUUGAAGCGUGGACGCCAGUCUGCGUGGAGCCGUCCUUGAAAUACCACCCUUUAAUGGCUGGUGUUCUAACGUAGACCCGUUACCCGGGUUGCGGACAGUGUCUGGUGGGUAGUUUGACUGGGGCGGUCUCCUCCCAAAGAGUAACGGAGGAGCACGAAGGUUAGCUAAUCCUGGUCGGACAUCAGGAGGUUAGUGCAAUGGCAUAAGCUAGCUUGACUGCGAGAGUGACGGCUCGAGCAGGUGCGAAAGCAGGUCAUAGUGAUCCGGUGGUUCUGAAUGGAAGGGCCAUCGCUCAACGGAUAAAAGGUACUCCGGGGAUAACAGGCUGAUACCGCCCAAGAGUUCAUAUCGACGGCGGUGUUUGGCACCUCGAUGUCGGCUCAUCACAUCCUGGGGCUGAAGUAGGUCCCAAGGGUAUGGCUGUUCGCCAUUUAAAGUGGUACGCGAGCUGGGUUUAGAACGUCGUGAGACAGUUCGGUCCCUAUCUGCCGUGGGCGCUGGAGAAUUGAGGGGGGCUGCUCCUAGUACGAGAGGACCGGAGUGGACGCAUCACUGGUGUUCGGGUUGUCAUGCCAAUGGCACUGCCCGGUAGCUAAAUGCGGAAAAGAUAAGUGCUGAAAGCAUCUAAGCACGAAACUUGCCCCGAGAUGAGUUCUCCCUGACCCUUUAAGGGUCCUGAAGGAACGUUGAAGACGACGACGUUGAUAGGUCGGGUGUGUAAGCGCAGCGAUGCGUUGAGCUAACCGAUACUAAUGAACCGUGAGGCUUAAC